AAUGUGGACAGAUUUGCCUGCUUGCAACCACGUAAAAAAAUGCUAAAAU
RNAcentral lists this non-coding RNA (49 nucleotides) under bovine gut metagenome. The record is from RNAcentral.